RNAcentral lists this ribosomal RNA (274 nucleotides) under uncultured bacterium. RNAcentral describes it as "partial 16S ribosomal RNA". It matches the Rfam family "Bacterial small subunit ribosomal RNA", at positions 523 to 796 of the family's 1533-position model. The record is from RNAcentral.
AUACGGAGGGUGCAAGCGUUACUCGGAAUUACUGGGCGUAAAGGACGCGUAGGCGGUUUAGAAAGUCAGAUGUGAAAGCCUAUGGCUUAACCAUAGAACUGCAUUUGAAACUUCCAAACUAGAGUGGGGGAGAGGUCAGUGGAAUUAGUGGUGUAGGGGUAAAAUCCGUAGAGAUCACUAGGAAUACUCAUUGCGAAGGCGACUGACUGGAACUUAACUGACGCUGAGGCGUGAAAGCGUGGGGAGCAAACAGGAUUAGAAACCCGGGUAGUCC